UACAGAGGUCUCAAGCGUUGUUCGGAUUCAUUGGGCGUAAAGGGUGCGUAGGUGGCGCGCUAAGUCGGGUGUGAAAUUUCGGAGCUUAACUCCGAAACUGCAUUCGAUACUGGCGUGCUUGAGGACUGGAGAGGAGACUGGAAUUCAUGGUGUAGCAGUGAAAUGCGUAGAGAUCAUGAGGAAGACCGUGGCGAAGGCGGGUCUCUGGACAGUUCCUGACACUGAGACACGAAGGCCAGGGGAGCAAACGGG
RNAcentral lists this ribosomal RNA (252 nucleotides) under uncultured bacterium. RNAcentral's name for it is "partial 16S ribosomal RNA". It matches the Rfam family "Bacterial small subunit ribosomal RNA", at positions 524 to 776 of the family's 1533-position model. The record is from RNAcentral.